ACGAGGGUAGCAGGAAAUUGCAUUAACUUCGAUACUAUCGUUCAACGUGGAAAGAAGGAGAGACUGGCCUCGUUCAACUCUGAUCACUUAAUUAAUGCGACAGAAUGCUCGAAUGCAUAUACAGGGUGUUCAUAUUAUCGUGCCAGGCAUUCCUCUUGUAUCUGUGAGUGAGAGAGAGAGAGAGAGAGAGAGAGAGAGAGAGAGAGAGAGAGCUCGAAACAAAAAAAAGUAAACUGUAACUGUUAUCAUUCUUUCAUUCACAAUUCAUUUACACGUGAAAAUAACAUGAACACCCACUGCAACGAUUCGACUUUGGUUUUAGACAGCAUUAGACUUUUCGCGAUUAGACAACUAGACAAUUAAGCGUAGAAGUUAAAGUAACUCUUGGACGCGUUAGUCUUCUAUGUAACGUAGAUUGGCGUCAGUCGAAUGAAUUUAUCCAAGCAUACAGGGUGAUAUUCACGUGAAGCGUAUGGAAAAAGAUGUGUCGAGUAAAUGUUACUUGUUGUUAGGUACGCUAGACAAAACAAUUCCACAAAAUCGCGCGUUACUCCGUUAAUAAUAAUAUUCUCACGUAAAAGGUGAAAAAAAGAAUUGAAACGAUUAAACACUUGCCAAGUUCGAACGUCUCAUGCGGGCCACCCAGUAUAUGCGAGGAAACAGCACACAAUUAAUAACGUAGCGUAGUUACAAAGCGUGGAAGCGGAGGAUCAUAAUGCAUUUGUCCACUUACCUGCGUUAAACGGCAACAAACCAUUCUCCUUCGGCUAUGUACAUUACCGAUUAGGGUUCGAUCAUGCAGCGGGCAGAGCAAUGGACCCAGUAGGUAAACGUUAUGAAAAUAAAGAUAUAAACGAUCAUGCGAACGAUAAUAACGAUUACACCUUCGUUUCGUGUCAAUGUUUCCCCCGUUCGUUGGAACAGUGACCGGCAAAGGGGAUGCGCAUAGCGAAACUAAAAAGUCCAGCAAAACGGUGGCGUGUGUGUUAUACAUGUGCAGACGUAACUCGGCGCAACGAUGAUGCGUAUAAUUUUAUUUAAACAAACGAAAACGAGAGACCUCUAUUUCGCCGCUGAUAUACACAGGCAGCGUUGACGGAUAUCUGAACAGAAUCGAAGGUCGAUCAGCAGCACUAUUCAUUGUACAAGUAAUACUAAAUGGCUACACGUGAACGCAGUAGAAGUCUAACCGUUAACUUUUUUUUUUUCGAGUUUCUAAUGCAACAGGUGGUGUAUAGAUGCUUUUCGGUGCUUACGUGGCUACGCUCAAAGAAUUACCGUUUCUCAUCUAUUAACUCGUUAAAUGGCAAUAAUUAACUGCCUUAGAUAAACCAACGGAAAAAAAAAAAUAACUCUCGGUGCAAUUUUCUGUUGUCAGCUCGUGCAUAUAUGCCUUAAUGCGUACAAGACCUGCGGUGUUUGUGUAUCAAGGGGCAAACAAAAAAUGAUGAUACGUAUACCAACAGCACCGAUAUACGGCAUUAAGUGCUCUACCUACGCGAUCAUUGGUAAUAAAAACCUUUCAAAGACUUGGUUCUUACGUGAACGGAAUAAAUAAUAAAUAUCUAAGGUAAUGAAAAUAAUAAACAUCUUUACCACGGUAAAGAUGCCGCAUUACAUUGUUCCUAUCGCCAACAGGUACGUAAUUAAGUCUAACGGAAUACAAAAAGAAAAAGAAAACGACGAACGCGGUACACGUUCGUCUAGAGGCUACAUAGCACUUCUUGUUACUCGAUGUAAGCUGCGCUACUUCGGUUGAAAGAUAACUACGCUUUUAUCUACUUGUUGUUCCGAGUACUAGCAAAAUCUUUGAUAUGCUUUUACCAUGUCAUUGCUUAUACAAAUAUUAAUAAAAUAUCGAGAGAUUUAAACUUCUGCAAAACAAAGCGAAGAGAGGAAUGGAAUCGUAAAUGAAUUUCCAGGAAAACGUGCAGUUGCUUUGUAUCAUCGACUUCCUACGUUGUAACAUAAACGUACGAACGAAUCGAUUCUCUUUUCGAAUUGCACACUAAUAAAAACAUUAAUCCGACGUUACAAGUUUCCUAUUCUACGAAUGUGUACUCGUAUAUGUGGAUGAACUUUUACCAACUUCAACAGUUGCAUUAUGCAUACGACUGCAAAGAAGACGCUCUCUGCCAGCUAUACACGUCGGCGCAUGCAUGAUUAAAAGUCGAUUCGUUUCUUAAUUGAUCCCGUGUAAAAAGGAUUUUACUUUGUCGUACAAAAAGCGGAUAAUCCGUACGUAAUCAUUGUCGCGAAUCACGUACGGGUUGAUUCAUCUACGGUGUUAUUUCUAAACGUUAUGUCGUUCGUAAAAUGUAGUUUCGUUAUUGUAAAUAAAACGUUGCACGCCAAGUGCAACUGAUCUCGUGUACAUUAAACGACACGAUGUUUCGCUCCGUGGAAGCAUGAGUUACGAAAGCAAACUCUUCAUAGUAAAUGAAACAAGAACGAAUGAUUCGUACAAUAAGCUCUGAACGGUGUAAUGCAAAAAAACAACCUACCUUAGGGUCUCCAUGAAUGCAAGUUUCUUUUCUUAAAAAUAAAAACGAAUAAGUAAUUCAAACGUGUUAGUUCGAUCGAACAUUCGUAAACUGCAAAAAAACAUUCGUAUUAAUCGUUCGUUGGACUUUCGAAGGUUUUUGAAAACAAUACUGUUAAGCCAUUCCGCGUGUUCUUAUGUACAUACAAAAAAAAAAUAA
This is a long non-coding RNA of Hylaeus anthracinus, 2702 nucleotides long. RefSeq lists it as uncharacterized. The record is from RefSeq and is a predicted model, not a curated record. NCBI's taxonomy places the organism in Eukaryota, Metazoa, Arthropoda, Insecta, Hymenoptera, Colletidae. The transcript is spliced from 2 exons.